RNAcentral lists this ribosomal RNA (468 nucleotides) under uncultured bacterium. RNAcentral's name for it is "partial 16S ribosomal RNA". It matches the Rfam family "Bacterial small subunit ribosomal RNA", at positions 28 to 507 of the family's 1533-position model. The record is from RNAcentral.
GACGAACGCUGGCGGCGUGCUUAACACAUGCAAGUCGAACGGAAAGUCCCUGCUUUUGUGGGGUGCUCGAGUUGCGAACGGGUGAGUAACACUUGAGUAACCUGUCCCUGACUUUGGGAUAACUUCAUGAAACUUGGGCUAAUACCGGAUAGGAGCUCCUGCUUCUUGGUGGGGGUUGGAUAGUUUCGGCGGUUGGGGAUGGACUCGCGUCUUAUCAGCUUGUUGCUGGGGUAGUGUCUUAGCAAGGCUUUGACCGGUAGCAGUGCUGAGAGGGGGACCGGACAAACUGGGACUGAAAUACGACACAGACUCGUACGGGAGGCAGCGGUGGAGAAGGUUGCACAAGGGGCGGAAGGCAGGUGCAGCAACGCAGCGUGGGGGAUGAGGGGCUUGGGGUUGUAAACCGAAUUCGCCUGUGACGAAGCGUGAGUGACGGUAAUGGGUAAAGAAGCUCCGGCUAACUACGUG